UAUAAGAGAAGAAAAUAUAGGAAAAGGAGAGAUCUUGAUUCUUCUCUCUCAAAUCAACUUAUUUAUAGCUUAGCCCUAAACAUAACAAAAUAAUAUGGUACAGUCAGUGUUCGUAUCGGUAUCGCUAUAAGUUUCGUUGGUCAGGGAUGCGGAAACAAUAUCGAUAUUGCAGAUAACAUCGCCGAUAACCGGAAAUGCGGGGAAAUAUUGGGUAAACAUAGGGAAAUGGUGCAAAUUUUCAGUGAAACUUUAGAAGAUGCUAAAAUACACAUAUUUACAUAUUUAGGAAUUAAAAAAAAUGUAAAAAGAAUGCAUACAUAAUAAGUUUCCAUUUAAUGGGGGCGUUAAAGCAAUGUUUUGUCGUAAGAAAUUAGUCUAACCAUCUCAUCUAUCCAUCCUACCUUCUAUCAAAAUAUCCAUUGAUAUUUCAAAAUAUCGACAACACAAUAUUUUGCUGAGAAAUUGUCAACAACUAGAAAGGAAAUGAAAGAUUGUGGUCUUGAUAUAGCUCACAUUGCAAUAAUGAUAAUAUCACGAUAUUACCGUCGACAAAAUUGAACACUACAUGCAACCAUGCAUCUAAUUUUUUUUUUUUUUUUGAAAUGGAAACUUUUUCAAUAAAUAGAUUUUUGGCAAUAUUAUUGAAAUAUCUCCAAUCCACUUGCAAUGUAAGCGACACCGAAAAUUUACACAAUCGAAAAUAUUGGCGAUACAUUGGCAAUACAAGUAACACCUGGAAUUUACACGAUAAAAAAUAUUGUUGAUAUCAAUACAUUGGCGAUAUUUAACAAUACAUUGCCUAUACCUAGAAUUUCUGAUACUACCAGUAUUAUUAGUAUCUGAUGCAGGACAUGAAAUUCAAAUAUGAUGUGCAAGAUUUUCAGGCUUUAGAUCACGUUAGUUUAGAAACAAUUACACAAAAUUCCAUAUCCCACACAAAAGUUCAAGCAUUCAAUCAAGGGGAAUCUAUGCAGGCCCAGGCCUACACAAGCUAGGGUUGGAUCAAUCAAAAUUAUAGACCAAACAAUAAUAAAAGGAGGGAAAAUUCAUCCACACAUGCAUAGAAAUAAUUCCCUAAUUCAAAGGGUUCACAGAUUUCAAUUCAGGGAACCCUAAGGUUGAAGAAAGGGCAUAAAAUUGGGGAUUUGAGUAAUUUAGGGUUAGGGAUUUGGGGUGAAAGAGAAGAGAGAGACGAACCAGAGAAGCGUCACAUGCGUGGACAACGGUGAAGGCGCAGAUGCACGUGCGCUGGAGGUGUCCCGCAUGUGUGUCGGGCCCACAAAUCGAAAAAUGGCCAGCUUGGCCCUAGACAACCAGGGGUGGGCCACAAAACCUCCAAAUUUCAGCCUGAUCUGAUACACGGUUUGUGCGUGGUGCUUCGCCGAAGUUUCAGCGAUCCUGUAGGGCCAGAUUCUGAAAAUUUGCUGUAGAGAGAAAAACGGUUGCAAUAGAGGAUGAAUUUGAAGCGUAGAUGAUUGUAGGAGAAGAGAAAUAUGGAUGGUAAAAAGUGGGGGCGAAUCGGAAUAGGUGUGGCUUCGCAUCACGGUAGUCAGCCCUUCGAGUAAAGGAGGGUUUCACACCCAAUUGAAUCUCCACAACUCAGAAAUUUAGAGGAGCAGAAAAA
Molecule: long non-coding RNA, 1624 nt
Organism: Magnolia sinica
Lineage: Eukaryota; Viridiplantae; Streptophyta; Magnoliopsida; Magnoliales; Magnoliaceae
Exons: 2
Source: RefSeq, a predicted model, not a curated record